ACGCUCGACACCUACGGGAGGCAGCAGUGGGGAAUAUUGCACAAUGGGGGAAACCCUGAUGCAGCGACGCCGCGUGAGCGAAGAAGUAUUUCGGUAUGUAAAGCUCUAUCAGCAGGGAAGAAGAAAGACGGUACCUGACUAAGAAGCCCCGGCUAACUACGUGCCAGCAGCCGGGUAAUCUGAGCGGGCUGGCAAGGC
Molecule: ribosomal RNA, 198 nt
Filed under: uncultured bacterium
Lineage: Bacteria
Description: partial 16S ribosomal RNA
Rfam family: Bacterial small subunit ribosomal RNA
Source: RNAcentral